AUAAAACCAAACAAGCGGAACCUAAUAUUUCUCAAAAUUGAAUUGAAUUGAGCCAAUUUGAUUUGAUAUGAUUUGUUUCACCAGUUCUCGAAGAAUGAGAUACUUAUUUGGAUAAACAGAAAUUUCUUCUUCACUUUUUCAAGUGUAUGUUAAAUAAAUCUGAAUAUAAACAACAUUGUGAUAGACAAGACAGGUCCAAUUAAUUGAUCAAAGCAUAUAACAACAAAAAUACCAUUCAAAAUAACAAAGAAAAAAAAAUAAAGAUUAUCUUCUCUUUUUCAUUGAUGAAAGAUACUGGCUACAAGAAAAAAAAAAUCUCCAGAACUUCUGGACUGACUGGUGGAAAUUACUGGGGAAGGGCCAUCCAAUACUCAAGUUGGAGAACUGUGCUGUAUGGAUGAGGAGUCGCUUGUGGUAUAUUGGAAAAGGAGAACCAGUUAGGUUUUGAAAGUUGGAAAAGAAGAAAAAUGGGGUAGAGAGAGAGAGGCUUCUGGUAGGGAGGGCUAAGCGGUAACGGGAAUGGCAAGGAGAAGCAAGGAUGGCAACAAGUUUAGUAUUUUUGAGUGUCUAAAUUGAUCAAAA
RNAcentral lists this unclassified non-coding RNA (582 nucleotides) under Hevea brasiliensis (rubber tree). The record is from RNAcentral. Lineage: Eukaryota; Viridiplantae; Streptophyta; Magnoliopsida; Malpighiales; Euphorbiaceae.